GGGUACCGCUGACACUGCCACUUCUCUUCGCCGCUCGGUACAAGCGUCGGGGGAAGG
This 57-nucleotide non-coding RNA is filed under the name unclassified sequences. The record is from RNAcentral.